RNAcentral lists this ribosomal RNA (261 nucleotides) under uncultured archaeon. Its description in RNAcentral is "partial 16S ribosomal RNA". It matches the Rfam family "Archaeal small subunit ribosomal RNA", at positions 748 to 1008 of the family's 1478-position model. The record is from RNAcentral.
CAGCCGUAAACAAUGUGCGUUAGGUGUGUCGGUAACCACGCGUUACUGAUGCGCCGAAGAGAAAUCGUGAAACGCACCACCUGGGAAGUACGGUCGCAAGGCUGAAACUUAAAGGAAUUGGCGGGGGAGCACCACAACAAGUGGAGCCUGCGGUUUAAUUGGAUUCAACGCCGGACAUCUCACCGGAUAAGACAGCUGAAUGAUUGUCAAUCUGAAGGUUUUACAUGACUAGCUGAGAGGUGGUGCAUGGCGUCAGUGACU